UCUCGGUCUCUCACUCUGCCUUAUACCCCUCAGUUGAAUUAUUUCUUCUGAGGAGGCAAGAACUGAGGCUGCUGCAGACUGAUAUGGAUUCACCACUGCUAACACCUCCUGGUUGGAACUACAGGAAUAGAACUGGAAAGGGAAAAAAGGCAGCAUUCACCACAUCCCAAUCCUGAAUCCAAGAGUCUAAGAUAGUCCCCCACUCCUAUCUCAGGCUUAGAGGAUUAGAUUAAUCUCCUGGAGGGAAGACUCUUCCUUGAAACAUUUUUUUUUAUCUGCCUGUAGCUAUUGGGAUAAUUCGGGAAAUCCACAGGGACAGUUCAAGUCAUCUUUGUCCUCUACUUUCUGUUGCACUCUCAGCCUUGUUCUCUUUUUAGAAACUGCAUGGUAACUAUUAUAUAGCUAAAGAAGAGCAUUCUGACCUCUGCCCUCUGCCCUGGGACUUCCUGGAUCCUCCUCUUCUUAUAAAUACAAGGGCAGAGCUGGUAUCCCGGGGAGCCAGGAAGCAGUGAGCCCAGGAGUCCUCGGCCAGCCCUGCCUGCCCACCAGGAGGAUGAAGGUCUCCGUGGCUGCCCUCUCCUGCCUCAUGCUUGUUGCUGUCCUUGGAUCCCAGGCCCAGUUCAUAAAUGAUGCAGAGACAGAGUUAAUGAUGUCAAAGCUUCCACUGGAAAAUCCAGUAGUUCUGAACAGCUUUCACUUUGCUGCUGACUGCUGCACCUCCUACAUCUCACAAAGCAUCCCGUGUUCACUCAUGAAAAGUUAUUUUGAAACGAGCAGCGAGUGCUCCAAGCCAGGUGUCAUAUUCCUCACCAAGAAGGGGCGGCAAGUCUGUGCCAAACCCAGUGGUCCGGGAGUUCAGGAUUGCAUGAAAAAGCUGAAGCCCUACUCAAUAUAAUAAUAAAGAGACAAAAGAGGCCAGCCACCCACCUCCAACACCUCCUGAGCCUCUGAAGCUCCCACCAGGCCAGCUCUCCUCCCACAACAGCUUCCCACAGCAUGAAGAUCUCCGUGGCUGCCAUUCCCUUCUUCCUCCUCAUCACCAUCGCCCUAGGGACCAAGACUGAAUCCUCCUCACAAACUGGGGGGAAACCGAAGGUUGUUAAAAUACAGCUAAAGUUGGUGGGGGGACCUUACCACCCCUCAGAGUGCUGCUUCACCUACACUACCUACAAGAUCCCGCGUCAGCGGAUUAUGGAUUACUAUGAGACCAACAGCCAGUGCUCCAAGCCCGGAAUUGUCUUCAUCACCAAAAGGGGCCAUUCCGUCUGUACCAACCCCAGUGACAAGUGGGUCCAGGACUAUAUCAAGGACAUGAAGGAGAACUGAGUGACCCAGAAGGGGUGGCGAAGGCACAGCUCAGAGACAUAAAGAGAAGAUGCCAAGGCCCCCUCCUCCACCCACCGCUAACUCUCAGCCCCAGUCACCCUCUUGGAGCUUCCCUGCUUUGAAUUAAAGACCACUCAUGCUCUUC
Homo sapiens (human) is the source of this 1471-nucleotide long non-coding RNA. RefSeq annotates it as CCL15-CCL14 readthrough (NMD candidate). Lineage: Eukaryota; Metazoa; Chordata; Mammalia; Primates; Hominidae. The record is from RefSeq and is marked validated.